Molecule: ribosomal RNA, 549 nt
Filed under: Pseudomonas sp. EECC-117
Lineage: Bacteria; Pseudomonadati; Pseudomonadota; Gammaproteobacteria; Pseudomonadales; Pseudomonadaceae
Description: bacterial SSU rRNA
Rfam family: Bacterial small subunit ribosomal RNA
Source: RNAcentral
UUCUCUUGAGAGCGGCGGACGGGUGAGUAAUACCUAGGAAUCUGCCUGAUAGUGGGGGAUAACUAAACGGAAACGGACGCUAAUACCGCAUACGUCCUACGGGAGAAAGCAGGGGACCUUCGGGCCUUGCGCUAUCAGAUGAGCCUAGGUCGGAUUAGCUAGUUGGUGAGGUAAUGGCUCACCAAGGCUACGAUCCGUAACUGGUCUGAGAGGAUGAUCAGUCACACUGGAACUGAGACACGGUCCAGACUCCUACGGGAGGCAGCAGUGGGGAAUAUUGGACAAUGGGCGAAAGCCUGAUCCAGCCAUGCCGCGUGUGUGAAGAAGGUCUUCGGAUUGUAAAGCACUUUAAGUUGGGAGGAAGGGCAUUAACCUAAUACGUUGGUGUCUUGACGUUACCGACAGAAUAAGCACCGGCUAACUCUGUGCCAGCAGCCGCGGUAAUACAGAGGGUGCAAGCGUUAAUCGGAAUUACUGGGCGUAAAGCGCGCGUAGGUGGUUUGUUAAGUUGAAUGUGAAAUCCCCGGGCUCAACCUGGGAACUGCAUCC